RNAcentral lists this transfer RNA (73 nucleotides) under Gekko subpalmatus. RNAcentral's name for it is "tRNA-Gln". It matches the Rfam family "tRNA". From Rfam's summary of the family: Transfer RNA (tRNA) molecules are approximately 80 nucleotides in length. Their secondary structure includes four short double-helical elements and three loops (D, anti-codon, and T loops). Lineage: Eukaryota; Metazoa; Chordata; Lepidosauria; Squamata; Gekkonidae. The record is from RNAcentral.
UAGAGGUUAGUAUAAUUUGGUAGUACACAAGGUUUUGGGCCUUGAAGUUUGGGUUCGAGGCCCAAGUGUCUAG